GAUGAAGAACGUAGCGAAAUGCGAUAAGUAGUGUGAAUUGCAGAAUUCCGUGAAUCAUCGAAUCUUUGAACGCACAUUGCGCCUUCUGGUAUUCCGGAAGGCAUGCCUGUUCGAGAGUCAUUAACAACCGUUUCGAUCCCUUUCUUUCAGAAAUUACAAAGAGGAAAAGGGUUUGGUUAUGGUGGAGGAGGGAAAGGGAGCGUUUAGCCUGUAAAAAAAGAGGCUGUGUUCCGCCUCCCCCCCAAAAUUGUACAGGCGGUCGUGUGCGCCCACGCAUCGAGGUGUUGUAAAAGCUGCCUCGGCACUUUUCACCUGUGCAGAGCGAGAAUGGCCAGCCGGUUUAAAAACCCCUCCAAACAAUCAAAGGUUGACCUCGGAUCAGGUAGGGAUACCCGCUGAACUUAAGCAUAUCGAUAAGCGGAGGA
This 425-nucleotide unclassified non-coding RNA is filed under the name soil metagenome. RNAcentral's name for it is "partial contains 5.8S ribosomal RNA, internal transcribed spacer 2, and large subunit ribosomal RNA". The stretch from base 1 to 120 matches the Rfam family "5.8S ribosomal RNA", at positions 35 to 154 of the family's 154-position model. The record is from RNAcentral.